This 486-nucleotide small RNA is filed under the name Arabidopsis thaliana (thale cress). RNAcentral describes it as "ATSL046760". Lineage: Eukaryota; Viridiplantae; Streptophyta; Magnoliopsida; Brassicales; Brassicaceae. The record is from RNAcentral.
UUAUUAGAAAAGCCCUAUGUUUUUUUCUACAUACAAAAUAGUUUGAAUUUUUAAAAUCGGAUUUGGAUUUAUAAAAUAGUAAAUAGUGUUUGUAAGUAAAAACAUGUUGUACUAUUUUGGAUAGAAAUAAAAUGUUGUACUAUACUAUUUUGGAUGUAUAGAAAAACUAUACCCUAAGAUACAACAUUGGCAACCCAAGCAACCAGAUAACAUAAGUGGUAUCUGAAAAAUCUACUUUGUGCUUCUCGUUUGUUUGUCAUGUGAUACAGAAAAAAGAAAGAGAGAAGAGAUUGAGAGAAGAAAGAAAAAGAGAUGAGAGAGAGAGGAGAGAAGGAGGGACUUAGAAUGAGGUGGAGAGAAAGGGGUAAAUAUGCUAUUAUUAUAUAUAAUAUGGAGAGUAUAACUGUUUUUUUGUCUUGUGUUACUUUCUUAAUUUAUAAGUUUUUGUUAGUUAUUCUUGCAAAUUUCUCUUUUUUCUAUAUAUAU